Long non-coding RNA from Erigeron canadensis, 692 nucleotides. RefSeq lists it as uncharacterized. NCBI's taxonomy places the organism in Eukaryota, Viridiplantae, Streptophyta, Magnoliopsida, Asterales, Asteraceae. The record is from RefSeq and is a predicted model, not a curated record. The transcript has 2 exons.
UACAAUAUAAAAUGAAAUGUUUUGGCUCAUUGUAUAACACAUCUAAUAUCUAAAAAACUGGCCCAGAAAAGCCCAACAACAAAUUUUAGAAUUAAAUUAAAAACCAAAAUUGAAAAAAAAAAAAAAAUCAAAACUAACACGCAUCAGAAGGAAAGGCUCCACGUAGUACCCACUCACCUCCUAACUCCUCACCAACUAUACAAGGGGUUUCCAAUCACUCGAACAUGUGAUCAUGAUGAUUUCAAAGAUUGAUGAGAUUUAGCGGUGGAGUAAGUGGUUAUUCCGGGUGGGCGUCGCCAUAUAUGUGACCAUGAUGAUAUAGACGAUGAUGACGUCUAGAGGCGGAGUAAUUGGUUAUUCCGAGCCGCCGCUGCCGCCCUCAUCGGAAUCCGCGGAUCCAGGCGGCUGGAAUGUUGGAGAUAUCAUCUAUUAAUUGUUGAUAACGAAGAUCUCUUUGUGGCGAUGGUUGUUCCGAAGUGGUUAAAUCCCGCUUUCUGUAUAGUACUUUCUUUUUGGUAUUUUUUCCCCCUUUUUUAUAGUUUAGAUCUAGGGAUGUUCAUUAUAAUGAUGUUGCCAGAUCCGCCGCCGCCGUUGCUCCUAGCGGUGAGUUUUACCGGUGGUGGUUACGGAAGUAUUGUUUUUGUAAGUACAUAUCUUGUUGUUCAUCCUGCAUAUUUGUUUGUUGCUACAAA